CGCACAUUGCGCCCCUUGGUAUUCCGAAGGGCAUGCCUGUUCGAGCGUCAUUUCAACCCUCAAGCCUAGCUUGGUAUUGGACGCGGUCCUAGGACCCGUCCACAACCCGUUGGCGGUACCGUCCAGCCUCAAGCGUAGCAAGAACCUCGCUUUGGGAGCCUGUAGCGGCGCCUGCCAGGAAAACCCACUCUGAAGUUUGACCUCGGAUCAGGUAGGGAUACCCGCUGAACUUAA
RNAcentral lists this unclassified non-coding RNA (234 nucleotides) under fungal sp. RNAcentral describes it as "partial contains 5.8S ribosomal RNA, internal transcribed spacer 2, and large subunit ribosomal RNA". The record is from RNAcentral. Lineage: Eukaryota; Fungi.